GACGAACGCUGGCGGCGUGCUUAACACAUGCAAGUCGAACGGAAAGGCCCCUUCGGGGGUACUCGAGUGGCGAACGGGUGAGUAACACGUGAGUAACCUGCCCUUGACUUCGGGAUAACUUCAGGAAACUGGGGCUAAUACCGGAUAGGAAUCCUUGCUGCAUGGUGGGGGUUGGAAAGCUUCGGCGGUUUUGGAUGGACUCGUGGCUUAUCAGCUUGUUGGUGGGGUAGUGGCUUACCAAGGCUUUGACGGGUAGCCGGCCUGAGAGGGCGACCGGCCACAUUGGGACUGAGAUACGGCCCAGACUCCUACGGGAGGCAGCAGUGGGGAAUAUUGCACAAUGGGCGGAAGCCUGAUGCAGCAACGCCGCGUGCGGGAUGACGGCCUUCGGGUUGUAAACCGCUUUCAGCAGGGGCGAAGCUUGUGGUGACGGUACCUGCAGAAGAAGCACCGGCUAACUACGU
This 464-nucleotide ribosomal RNA is filed under the name uncultured bacterium. Its description in RNAcentral is "partial 16S ribosomal RNA". It matches the Rfam family "Bacterial small subunit ribosomal RNA", at positions 28 to 506 of the family's 1533-position model. The record is from RNAcentral.